UCCUUUUAUGAAAGUAUCUAUUUACCAUCUAUUUUGUUGCUACCGUCUUUUCUUCUAUUGUUUGGAUUUGCAGGUUCGCAUGGUAGCGGUUUCAUCUUCUUGCUCAGGUUCGAAUCUGCAGUUUGCAUUUGCAGUUGAUGUUUUUAGAGAUUUUAAUAGUUCAGGCAGUCAAAGGUUUGCCCAAGGAUAGGAAAUCUCUAUCAGAUGCUGGGCAGUGGCUUGAAGCAGUAGUAAAAUAUUUGCCGAAGGAGAAGUACCAAAUAUUAGAUUUUUGGUACAGGCUAGGAAGUGAUCUGAUUGAUAUUUAGAUAGCUGGAACUUGGAAGCAAAUGGAAGCUCAUGGAGUUUUGUCAUGAAUGCUUGAUGCUUUGUUUUCUCCUUUCCAAUAUCUUUAGCAAAAUUCAUUAGUUACUUCAACAGCCACUUGUUAUAGUAUAGAUGAUUUUUUUUUUUUGGGUUCUUCACCACUAAUACAUAGUUCCACUAGAAUUGGCUACGCUAGAUAAGAAAAGAAGAGAGGCAAUUCUAGAUACAGUAGUCCGUACUUUUGGAUGAAUGUAUCUUAUAUCUUAAAUUGUACCUUUUCACAGGUAAUGAGAU
Molecule: long non-coding RNA, 600 nt
Organism: Coffea eugenioides
Lineage: Eukaryota; Viridiplantae; Streptophyta; Magnoliopsida; Gentianales; Rubiaceae
Exons: 5
Source: RefSeq, a predicted model, not a curated record